CGAAGACGAUUACUACAGACUCCACUUUUACAGAGCUUGAGCAGCAAUAGACAAGUGGAAGUAAAGAAUGAAGGGAUAAUUCAAGGUGCAAAAUCAAGGAAAAAAUGAUAUUUGGAUCCAUAGGUGCCAAGAGAAAAGAAACUUGGUGUUCUUCCUGUAAACUUGGAGGACCAUGGUGUCUUCUCUGAGAUUCUUCUCAUCUUGCUGUUCAAGGGGCAGCCUGAAACAUCAACGCAAAGCGUUCGUGCCUCAGAGGAACACAAUCUUGGAUCAGUGCGGAGCCUGCAUGGAUGAGUCACACGUGUUCAAAUAUUUCAGCUGACAGAAGAGGAGCCACGAGGACCUAGAUACUAAGUACAAUAAAGGCCAAAGUCUCCAGAAUUACCAACAAUAUGCUUUAUGGUAACUUGAAAAUAUUCAGAAAAAUAUGAAAAUCCGAAGAUCCACACCAGA
Molecule: long non-coding RNA, 453 nt
Filed under: Mus pahari (shrew mouse)
Lineage: Eukaryota; Metazoa; Chordata; Mammalia; Rodentia; Muridae
Description: predicted gene, 38064 (MGP_PahariEiJ_G0006143.1)
Source: RNAcentral